GACGAACGCUGGCGGCGUGGAUUAGGCAUGCAAGUCGAACGGUAGGAUACCUUCGGGUAUCUGAGAGUGGCGAACGGGUGAGUAACACGUAGGUGAUCUACCCUCAAGAUUGGGACAACCCAGGGAAACUUGGGCUAAUACCGGAUGAAAGCAGCAGUGAUGUUGUUUGAAAGGUGGCGUAAGCUGCCGUUUGGGGAUGAGCCUGCGCUCUAUUAGUUAGUUGGCGGGGUAAAGCCCACAAGGCGAUGAUAGAUAGGCGGCCUUAACGGGUGGUCGCCCACACUGGGAUUGAGAUACGGCCCAGACUCCUACGGGAGGCAGCAGUCGAGAAUAGUCUACAAUGGCCGAAAGGCUGAUAGUGCGACGCCGCGUGAACGAAGAAGCCCUUCGGGGUGUAAAGUUCUUUUAUAUGUGAGCAGUGCUUUCUAUGUGAACAGCAUGGGGAGAGAGAUAUUAGCAUAUGAAUAAGAACGGCUAACUCCGUGCCAGCACG
RNAcentral lists this ribosomal RNA (493 nucleotides) under uncultured bacterium. RNAcentral's name for it is "bacterial SSU rRNA". It matches the Rfam family "Bacterial small subunit ribosomal RNA", at positions 28 to 515 of the family's 1533-position model. The record is from RNAcentral.